Sturnus vulgaris (Common starling) is the source of this 93-nucleotide non-coding RNA. The record is from RefSeq and is a predicted model, not a curated record. Lineage: Eukaryota; Metazoa; Chordata; Aves; Passeriformes; Sturnidae.
UUAGGAAGAAAUCCUUCACUGUGGGAGUGGUGAGGCUCUGGCAGGGGCUGCCCAGAGAAGCUGUGGCUGCCCCAUCCCUGCAAGUGUUCAGGA